Long non-coding RNA from Diabrotica virgifera virgifera (western corn rootworm), 724 nucleotides. RefSeq lists it as uncharacterized. The record is from RefSeq and is a predicted model, not a curated record. The transcript has 3 exons. Lineage: Eukaryota; Metazoa; Arthropoda; Insecta; Coleoptera; Chrysomelidae.
AGUUAUAACACUGCCAUAUCAGUACUUACCUUCAGUUACUGAAUCGGGAAUCGAUGUUUCCUCAGCUCUAGGAAAACUUAAUGCUGAAUUGUAUUUAAUACUAGAAAUUUGAUUAUGAAAAAUGGGGUUACUUAAAUAUUUAAUCACCUUUUUAAGCGAUGACCGAUGACCCUUUUGAUUCCGACUCAACAUUUUGUUAACCUUGAAUUUCAUAACAUAGUAGUUGAUUACACGUGCGCGAGAAGAUAAAACUAAAAAUAUGUUUUACGUCUUUAUGAAUUGUUCCGCUACUUGAUGGAUAUACGCAAAUCGGUUUACAGUGCUAAUUGAUGCGAGUGACAGCUGUGUAUAAGUGACUUCACGAGUUGUGUUAAAUAAAAUUUUGGACUUUUUUUCUGACAUCAUCCUAAACACAAUGCAAAAAGUUGCAAGUCUCUAGCUGCUGCAUUUCAAAAUCGAUUUAUUUUUCCUAGAUGCCCUGGUCUACUAUUUUUGUUUAACUUAUGAUGUGACUUUACGAGGCUAACGCAUUUGCCAUUGAUAUCCUGUUUAAGCGUGUACAUAGAUGAUAAAGGUAUCAUUGUAUUUAUUCAAGAUCUCAACUGUAGAAUUGUUAGAAUUUACGCAAACUUACCAUAGUGUAUUCUAAAGAUAUUUGUACGAUGAUUUUCGAAGAAUUAUUUCAUUGUAUGGUAUAAAUUAAUAAAACCUAAAGCAAACAUUA